GACGAACGCUGGCGGCGUGCCUAAUACAUGCAAGUCGAGCGGAAAGGUCCGGUUCUUGUGCCGCGUGCGUGAGCCGCGCACGGGUGAGUAACGCGUGGAAAAUCUGCCUUUCAGUGGGGGAAAACCUGGGGAAACGGGUGCUAAUACCGCAUAAGAUCUUGAAGCACAGGGUUGAAUGGUGAAAGACGGCGGUUCGGGAUGGAAUCGCGGCUUAUCGGCUUGUUGGUGAGGUAGUGGGUUAACAGGGCUCCGACGGGUAGCCGGCCUGGGAGUGGGACCGGCCACAAUGGGCCUGGGGUAGGGCCCAGACUGCUACGGGAGGCAGUGGUGGAAAACAUUCCGCAGUAGGCGGAAGCCAGGUACAACGAUGCCGGGUGCGGAAUGACGGCUUUUGGGGUAUAAACCGCUUUGGAAUGUAACGAAGCGUGAGUGACGGUAACUAGUAAGAAAGCAACGGCUAACUACGUG
This 468-nucleotide ribosomal RNA is filed under the name uncultured bacterium. RNAcentral's name for it is "partial 16S ribosomal RNA". It matches the Rfam family "Bacterial small subunit ribosomal RNA", at positions 28 to 507 of the family's 1533-position model. The record is from RNAcentral.